CAAGUCGAACGGAGCUAUGUUGAAAGCUUGCUGGAUAUAUAGCUUAGUGGCGGACGGGUGAGUAACACGUGAGCAACCUGCCUUUCAGAGUGGAAUAACGUUUGGAAACGAACGCUAAUACCGCAUAACGUCAGAGGAUGGCAUCAUUCUUUGACCAAAGAUUUAUCGCUGAAAGAUGGGCUCGCGGCCGAUUAGGUAGUUGGUGAGAUAAUAGCCCACCAAGCCGACGAUCGGUAGCCGGACUGAGAGGUUGAACGGCCACAUUGGGACUGAGACACGGCCCAGACUCCUACGGGAGGCAGCAGUGGGGGAUAUUGCACAAUGGGGGAAACCCUGAUGCAGCGACGCCGCGUGAGGGAAGACGGCCUUCGGGUUGUAAACCUCUGUCUUCGGGGACGAAUAAAUGACGGUACCCGAGGAGGAAGCCACGGCUAACUACGUGCCAGCAGCCGCGGUAAUACGUAGGUGGCAAGCGUUGUCCGGAAUUACUGGGUGUAAAGGGAGCGUAGGCGGGGAGGCAAGUUGAAUGUCUAAACUAUCGGCUCAACUGAUAGUCGCGUUCAAAACUGCCACUCUUGAGUGCAGUAGAGGUAGGCGGAAUUCCUAGUGUAGCGGUGAAAUGCGUAGAUAUUAGGAGGAACACCAGUGGCGAAGGCGGCCUACUGGGCUGUAACUGACGCUGAGGCUCGAAAGCGUGGGUAGCAAACAGGAUUAGAUACCCUGGUAGUCCACGCCGUAAAC
RNAcentral lists this ribosomal RNA (741 nucleotides) under uncultured bacterium. RNAcentral's name for it is "bacterial SSU rRNA". It matches the Rfam family "Bacterial small subunit ribosomal RNA", at positions 58 to 807 of the family's 1533-position model. The record is from RNAcentral.